CCUACGGGAGGCAGCAGUGGGGAAUAUUGGACAAUGGGCGAAAGCCUGAUCCAGCAAUUCCGCGUGUGUGAAGAAGGCCUUCGGGUUGUAAAGCACUUUAGUGGGGGAAGAAACAGCUUGGCCACACCAAGCCUUGACGGUACCCCAAGAAUAAGCACCGGCUAACUCUGUGCCAGCAGCCGCGGUAAUACAGAGGGUGCAAGCGUUAAUCGGAUUUACUGGGCGUAAAGGGUGCGUAGGUGGCUAUUUAAGUCGGAUGUGAAAGCCCGGGGCUCAACCUCGGAAUUGCAUUCGAUACUGAGUGGCUAGAGUUCGGUAGAGGGCGGCGGAAUUUCCGGUGUAGCGGUGAAAUGCGUAGAUAUCGGAAGGAACAUCAAUGGCGAAGGCAGCCGCCUGGGCCUGGACUGACACUGAGGCACGAAAGCGUGGGUAGCAAACAGGAUUAGAUACCCUGGUAGUCCACGCCGUAAACGAUGAGAACUUGACGUUGGUUCGUUUUACGAAUCGGUGUCGCAGCUAACGCGAUAAGUUCUCCGCCUGGGGAGUACGGCCGCAAGGUUGAAACUCAAAUGAAUUGACGGCUGNGAGNGCGACGCGACACGAGGGAGAGG
RNAcentral lists this ribosomal RNA (611 nucleotides) under uncultured bacterium. Its description in RNAcentral is "bacterial SSU rRNA". It matches the Rfam family "Bacterial small subunit ribosomal RNA", at positions 338 to 950 of the family's 1533-position model. The record is from RNAcentral.